AACAUGCAUGAUUCCACCAGUACAAGCAAAGGUGGUCUCUAGCCCAUAUAUAUUGGUAUUUCGUUUAACAUAGCUCUCAUUUUACAUAUGGUUGAAGUUGCAUUUGAUGCUCCAGGUACAUAUAUUCAACUAGUAGAUCUCCCAAAUAGAAGCACCUUAUACGUGAUGGUUAUUGGCGAGGUCCAGGUUGAUUCUAGGCUUUGCCUAGUCUUUAUGAUGUGUAUUUCAUGUUUCAUGGUUACAUAAUAUCAUAGAAUAUUUCCAUGUUGCUGAUGGAUUUUAGACAAGUCCUAUUUAAAAUGGGAACCCUAGCAAAUCUCGAAACGAAAUUCCAAGGUGAACCAAACUAUCAGCUUCAACCAUCAGUCGAGGACGAGUGAUCAUAAGGGGGAGAAUGUAACAGGGUGUAUUCUACGUAUACCUGUUCUAUUUAUACGACGGUUAUAUAUUUCCUUGUAGUAUGUUUAUGAACUCGGUUUCGUAUGAGACUAAUGACAAUAGAAUAUGUUUAAUGUGAACUGCCCAUAGAUUUUGAUGUGAGACGAUUAAGUUGAUGUCGAUUGAAGUAUUUAAACAUGAAAUCAUAAGGUCAUAUUUUUAUCUA
This is a long non-coding RNA of Solanum pennellii, 604 nucleotides long. RefSeq lists it as uncharacterized. The record is from RefSeq and is a predicted model, not a curated record. The transcript is spliced from 3 exons. Lineage: Eukaryota; Viridiplantae; Streptophyta; Magnoliopsida; Solanales; Solanaceae.